UGACCUACUGGGACAAAGCAUGGAGA
Molecule: non-coding RNA, 26 nt
Filed under: Homo sapiens (human)
Lineage: Eukaryota; Metazoa; Chordata; Mammalia; Primates; Hominidae
Source: RNAcentral